CACCGCGGUUAGACGAGAGGCCCUAGUUGAUACUACAAACGGCGUAAAGGGUGGUUAAGGAUAAACAAAAUUAAAGCCGAAUGGCCCCUUGGCCGUCAUACGCUCCUAGGUGUCCGAAGCCCUAUUAUACGAAAGUAGCUUUAAUAAACCAACCUGACUCCACGAAAGCUGAGGAA
This 176-nucleotide ribosomal RNA is filed under the name Percocypris pingi. Its description in RNAcentral is "partial 12S rRNA". The record is from RNAcentral. Lineage: Eukaryota; Metazoa; Chordata; Actinopteri; Cypriniformes; Cyprinidae.